This 426-nucleotide ribosomal RNA is filed under the name Candacia bipinnata. Its description in RNAcentral is "eukaryotic LSU rRNA". It matches the Rfam family "Eukaryotic large subunit ribosomal RNA", at positions 331 to 666 of the family's 3401-position model. Lineage: Eukaryota; Metazoa; Arthropoda; Copepoda; Calanoida; Candaciidae. The record is from RNAcentral.
AUACCGAUAGCAAACAAGUACAGUGAUGGAAAUUUGAAAAGAACUUUGAAGAGAGAGUUAAGAGUACGUGAAACUGUAUGGUAGUAAACGCAGCCUUCCUCGAAGUUUCCUCGUGUGGAUCCAACCUAAGAGCAAUGAGCGCUUUGUCCUGUGCUGAGCAGCAAUGCCGGCUGGGUUGAUGGCAGUUUUUUGUCUCGCGGGUGCAUCUUCACACGUUGUUACUGUAGGAACCGUUGGCCGCUUGCACCUAAGGCCUGGGAUGAAGUUUUGGCUGUCUGUAGUGGGCGGCCGAAGCUCCCGGUGUCCUGGCUGCGAGUCCGACGGGCAAUAUGGCCGACUUGUAUAGCAAGCAACCCUUGCUGUUGCGGUUGGCCAUUCCCUACAGAGUAGGUCGGCGGAGGCUGCGACCCGUCUUGAAACACGGAC